This 443-nucleotide ribosomal RNA is filed under the name uncultured bacterium. RNAcentral describes it as "partial 16S ribosomal RNA". It matches the Rfam family "Bacterial small subunit ribosomal RNA", at positions 338 to 795 of the family's 1533-position model. The record is from RNAcentral.
CCUACGGGAGGCAGCAGUGAGGAAUAUUGGUCAAUGGGCGCAAGCCUGACCCAGCAACGCAGCGUGCAGGAAGAAGGCUUUCGGGUUUUAAACUUCUUUUCUCAGGGACGAAGCGCGUCACGGUACCUGAGGAAUAAGCCACGGCUAACUACGUGCCCGCAGCCGCGGUAAGACGUAGGUGGCAGGCGUUAGCCGGAUUUACUGGUUGUAAAGGGCGUGUGGGCGGGAAAGCAAGUCAGAUGUGAAAACCAUGGGCUUAACCUGUGGCCUGGUUUUGAAACUGUUUUUCUUGAGUACGGGAGAGGCAGACGGAAUUCCUAGUGUAGCGGUGAAAUGCGUAGAUAUUAGGAGGAACACCAGUGGCGAAGGCGGUCUGCUGGACAGCAACUGACGUUGAGGCGCGAAAGCGUGGGGAGCAAACAGGAUUAGAUACCCCAGUAGUC